RNAcentral lists this long non-coding RNA (338 nucleotides) under Mytilus galloprovincialis (Mediterranean mussel). The record is from RNAcentral. Lineage: Eukaryota; Metazoa; Mollusca; Bivalvia; Mytilida; Mytilidae.
AAAAUGAAAAAAAAAAAACAAUUAGAAAAAUAAAAAAAUUAUAUAAAAUUAAAGACCCAAAAAAAUAAUAAUAAAUUUACAGACUAAAACAAUAUUUUAUUCUACAUUUUCAAAAAAAGUUGAAAUGUCAAUUUUAAAAGAAACCUGAGUUACCUGUACAGGUAAAUAUUAAUGAAACAUACCAGCUGAAAACUUCAACCCUGAUUGAUUUUAACAGGUAACAUAAUUAGAUAAAAAAUCUACCUAUGUUUUAUGACCCCAAUAAAUGGCCAACAUCUCAAGAUUGAAUACCCCAAUACAUGUUCACCAUUGGAUGUUGACCAUGCAAGAGGGUGGAC